UGUUGAGGUUCCUUGCUCAUGGCUAUGAUGU
RNAcentral lists this non-coding RNA (31 nucleotides) under Mus musculus (house mouse). The record is from RNAcentral. Lineage: Eukaryota; Metazoa; Chordata; Mammalia; Rodentia; Muridae.